GGGGGUAUAGCUCACUGGUAGAGCAUUCGUCUGCAGAUUGAGAGGUCCCUGGUUCAAACAUUGGUGCCCCCU
This 72-nucleotide transfer RNA is filed under the name Trichonephila clavipes. It matches the Rfam family "tRNA". Rfam says of the family: Transfer RNA (tRNA) molecules are approximately 80 nucleotides in length. The record is from Rfam by way of RNAcentral. Lineage: Eukaryota; Metazoa; Arthropoda; Arachnida; Araneae; Nephilidae.